AGGAUGAACGCUGGCGGUCUGCUUAACACAUGCAGGUCGAACGGAGUACCUCGGUACUUAGUGGCGGACGGGUGAGUAACGCGUGAGAAUCUGCCCUUAGGUCGGGGACAACCAUUGGAAACGAUGGCUAAUACCGGAUAAGCCGAGAGGUAAAAGAUUAAUUGCCUAGGGAAGAGCUCGCGUCUGAUUAGCUAGUUGGUGAGGUAAAGGCUCACCAAGGCAUCGAUCAGUAGCUGGUCUGAGAGGAUGAUCAGCCACACUGGGACUGAGACACGGCCCAGACUCCUACGGGAGGCAGCAGUGGGGAAUUUUCCGCAAUGGGCGAAAGCCUGACGGAGCAAGACCGCGUGAGGGAGGAAGGCUCUUGGGUUGUAAACUUCUUUUCUUGGGAAGAACAAAUGACGGUACCCAAGGAUCAGCAUCGGCUAACUCCGUGCCAGCAGCCGC
RNAcentral lists this ribosomal RNA (447 nucleotides) under uncultured bacterium. RNAcentral's name for it is "SSU rRNA". It matches the Rfam family "Bacterial small subunit ribosomal RNA", at positions 26 to 518 of the family's 1533-position model. The record is from RNAcentral.